AGCAAGCUCCAGGAGUUGGUGAAGGACAGGGAAGCCUGGUGUGCCACAGUCCAUGGGGCUGCAAAGAGCUGGAUACAACUGAGCGACUGAACUGAACUGAAACACCCAAAUGUCUAUCAACAGGAGCUUGCAAAAACACAUUUUAGUUAAGUUCAUACUAACAGAUAGCUCUCAACCAUAAAAGCAGAUGAACUACUGCUGUCCAUGAAACACAAAAGUCAACAUUAUCAUUCUGAAUAAAUGAAGCCAAACACGAAAGAGUAAAAAUUAUAUAUUCUACUUGUAGGAAGUUCAGAACUAAUCUAUAGUUUUAGAAGUGGUUAUCUCUGGGGGGGAGCGGGGGGAACUGUCAUUGACCACGAUGGGCACUGAAAUUGACUUCUGGAAGACUCUGAUCUUGGGGUUGGUAAUACAGGUAUAGGACAGGUAAAAUUAAUAUUUGUGCAUUCUGUUGUAUGUAAAUUAUACCUCCAUUUUUAAAAAUUGAAAUUUCCUUAAAAAAAAAAAAAACCCAGAGGCUAACAUUUCAAAAAUAAUGUGCCACCCUGGUGCCAUGAAGAGGUAAGUACACAGCACUCAGCCCAGGAGAGGCAGUGACCACACCAAAGGAAAGAGAGCUGUGUGCCUGAUGAUACCGUUUGGCCUCCUAGAUCCAGCGCACCUGAAGCCUAACCUGGACUUUUCAUUUUUAUGAGGAGACAGCUAUCUAUCAGCCAUGGGGAGAGGUCUCACCAGAAUCCAAUCAGGCUAGCACCUUGACCUCAGAGUUCAGCCUCCAGAACUGACAGAAGGGACUCUCAUACUGGGGACAUCACUGUUGUCUGAGACAGCCCUGCCCGGAAUUCUUCUGAUGGCACCGAAAAGAAGACACAGCUGGCCUUUGAAAUCUGGUGUGCACUCGACACAGCACUUCUCAGCUCGGAUGGGCCACACGACAAGUGCUCAGCAUCCACUGUGGCUGCUGGUAGCCGUCCUGGACGGCACGGCUCUAAGUCAACCGAAAGUUUGCAGGAAAUUCAGAGAGCAAAGGAACACGGGGCGCAACACCACGCUGAUGUAAGCAACAGACUCCAGACACUCUGGGUUUCUGGAAAUCUACAGGAAAACCAAUGCAGCUUUUUUUUUUUUCUUUUUCUUUAAAGAAAUACAUCAUAAAGGGGAAAAUAAUGGAGAGAGAAGCCAUAAUUGCUUUCAAAGCAGAAACAGAGGCACACAGAACAAACGUAUAGACACCAAAUGGGAAAAUGGGAGGCAGGAUGAAUUGGGAGAUUGGUGUUGACAUAUAUACACUACUAUGUAUAAGAUAGGUAACUAAUGAGAACCUACCGUUCGGCACAGGGAACUCAACGCUCUGUCGUGAUCUAAAUGGGAAGG
Long non-coding RNA from Bubalus bubalis (water buffalo), 1374 nucleotides. RefSeq lists it as uncharacterized. The transcript has 3 exons. NCBI's taxonomy places the organism in Eukaryota, Metazoa, Chordata, Mammalia, Artiodactyla, Bovidae. The record is from RefSeq and is a predicted model, not a curated record.